This 1372-nucleotide ribosomal RNA is filed under the name uncultured bacterium. RNAcentral's name for it is "bacterial SSU rRNA". It matches the Rfam family "Bacterial small subunit ribosomal RNA", at positions 28 to 1381 of the family's 1533-position model. The record is from RNAcentral.
GAUGAACGCUGGCGGCGUGCCUAAUACAUGCAAGUCGAGCGAACGGACGAGAAGCUUGCUUCUCUGAUGUUAGCGGCGGACGGGUGAGUAACACGUGGAUAACCUACCUAUAAGACUGGGAUAACUUCGGGAAACCGGAGCUAAUACCGGAUAAUAUUUUGAACCGCAUGGUUCAAAAGUGAAAGACGGUCUUGCUGUCACUUAUAGAUGGAUCCGCGCUGCAUUAGCUAGUUGGUAAGGUAACGGCUUACCAAGGCAACGAUGCAUAGCCGACCUGAGAGGGUGAUCGGCCACACUGGAACUGAGACACGGUCCAGACUCCUACGGGAGGCAGCAGUAGGGAAUCUUCCGCAAUGGGCGAAAGCCUGACGGAGCAACGCCGCGUGAGUGAUGAAGGUCUUCGGAUCGUAAAACUCUGUUAUUAGGGAAGAACAUAUGUGUAAGUAACUGUGCACAUCUUGACGGUACCUAAUCAGAAAGCCACGGCUAACUACGUGCCAGCAGCCGCGGUAAUACGUAGGUGGCAAGCGUUAUCCGGAAUUAUUGGGCGUAAAGCGCGCGUAGGCGGUUUUUUAAGUCUGAUGUGAAAGCCCACGGCUCAACCGUGGAGGGUCAUUGGAAACUGGAAAACUUGAGUGCAGAAGAGGAAAGUGGAAUUCCAUGUGUAGCGGUGAAAUGCGCAGAGAUAUGGAGGAACACCAGUGGCGAAGGCGACUUUCUGGUCUGUAACUGACGCUGAUGUGCGAAAGCGUGGGGAUCAAACAGGAUUAGAUACCCUGGUAGUCCACGCCGUAAACGAUGAGUGCUAAGUGUUAGGGGGUUUCCGCCCCUUAGUGCUGCAGCUAACGCAUUAAGCACUCCGCCUGGGGAGUACGACCGCAAGGUUGAAACUCAAAGGAAUUGACGGGGACCCGCACACGCGGUGGAGCAUGUGGUUUAAUUCGAAGCAACGCGAAGAACCUUACCAAAUCUUGACAUCCUUUGACAACUCUAGAGAUAGAGCCUUCCCCUUCGGGGGACAAAGUGACAGGUGGUGCAUGGUUGUCGUCAGCUCGUGUCGUGAGAUGUUGGGUUAAGUCCCGCAACGAGCGCAACCCUUAAGCUUAGUUGCCAUCAUUAAGUUGGGCACUCUAAGUUGACUGCCGGUGACAAACCGGAGGAAGGUGGGGAUGACGUCAAAUCAUCAUGCCCCUUAUGAUUUGGGCUACACACGUGCUACAAUGGACAAUACAAAGGGCAGCGAAACCGCGAGGUCAAGCAAAUCCCAUAAAGUUGUUCUCAGUUCGGAUUGUAGUCUGCAACUCGACUACAUGAAGCUGGAAUCGCUAGUAAUCGUAGAUCAGCAUGCUACGGUGAAUACGUUCCCGGGUCU